This 475-nucleotide ribosomal RNA is filed under the name uncultured organism. RNAcentral describes it as "partial 16S ribosomal RNA". It matches the Rfam family "Bacterial small subunit ribosomal RNA", at positions 331 to 797 of the family's 1533-position model. The record is from RNAcentral.
GUACACUCCUACGGGAGGCAGCAGUGGGGAAUUUUGGACAAUGGGCGCAAGCCUGAUCCAGCCAUGCCGCGUGCGGGAAGAAGGCCUUCGGGUUGUAAACCGCUUUUGUCAGGGAAGAAAAGGUUCUGGCUAAUACCUGGGACUCAUGACGGUACCUGAAGAAUAAGCACCGGCUAACUACGUGCCAGCAGCCGCGGUAAUACGUAGGGUGCAAGCGUUAAUCGGAAUUACUGGGCGUAAAGCGUGCGCAGGCGGUUAUGCAAGACAGAGGUGAAAUCCCCGGGCUCAACCUGGGAACUGCCUUUGUGACUGCAUGGCUAGAGUACGGUAGAGGGGGAUGGAAUUCCGCGUGUAGCAGUGAAAUGCGUAGAUAUGCGGAGGAACACCGAUGGCGAAGGCAAUCCCCUGGACCUGUACUGACGCUCAUGCACGAAAGCGUGGGGAGCAAACAGGAUUAGAUACCCGGGUAGUCCCA